CAAGGUGCUGUGCUGAUGUAGAGGUGGAAGGUGAUGCUGCUCUUUAUUUUGAGCCUCCUCCCUCCUGCUGGCUCAAAAAUGCUCUCUUCUGCAGAAGGUUUACAGGGGUCAUACUUCAUCAGCUCACUAUAGAGAAACCUCACAAAGCCUCUGCGAGAGAUGAUUUCUGCAUGGCAGUCAUUCACCGUCUCCCCCUUCAAGCUCAGCUCUUCUCCUUUCA
This 220-nucleotide long non-coding RNA is filed under the name Gallus gallus (chicken). Lineage: Eukaryota; Metazoa; Chordata; Aves; Galliformes; Phasianidae. The record is from RNAcentral.